RNAcentral lists this ribosomal RNA (467 nucleotides) under uncultured bacterium. RNAcentral's name for it is "partial 16S ribosomal RNA". It matches the Rfam family "Bacterial small subunit ribosomal RNA", at positions 29 to 507 of the family's 1533-position model. The record is from RNAcentral.
ACGAACGCUGGCGGCGUGCUUAACACAUGCAAGUCGAACGGAAAGGCCCUGCUUUUGUGGGGUGCUCGAGUGGCGAACGGGUGAGUAACACGUGAGUAACCUGCCCUUGACUUUGGGAUAACUUCAGGAAACUGGGGCUAAUACCGGAUAGGAGCUCCUGCUGCAUGGUGGGGGUUGGAAAGUUUCGGCGGUUUGGGAUGGACUCGCGGCUUAUCAGCUUGUUGGUGGGGUAGUGGCUUACCAAGGCUUUGACGGGUAGCCGGCCUGAGAGGGUGACCGGCCACAUUGGGACUGAGAUACGGCCCAGACUCCUACGGGAGGCAGCAGUGGGGAAUAUUGCACAAUGGGCGGAAGCCUGAUGCAGCAACGCCGCGUGCGGGAUGACGGCCUUCGGGUUGUAAACCGCUUUCGCCUGUGACGAAGCGUGAGUGACGGUAAUGGGUAAAGAAGCACCGGCUAACUACGUG